Non-coding RNA from Phrynosoma platyrhinos (Desert horned lizard), 66 nucleotides. Lineage: Eukaryota; Metazoa; Chordata; Lepidosauria; Squamata; Phrynosomatidae. The record is from the annotation of a GenBank genome assembly.
GAGCAUGGCAUAGUGGUUUGAGCAUUGGACUAUGACUCUGGAGACCAGGGUUCGAAUCCCGGCUCG